GAUGAAGAACGCAGCGAAAUGCGAUAAGUAAUGUGAAUUGCAGAAUUCAGUGAAUCAUCGAAUCUUUGAACGCACAUUGCGCCCGCCAGUAUUCUGGCGGGCAUGCCUGUUCGAGCGUCAUUUCAACCAUCAAGCCCUGCUUGCGUUGGGGUCCUGCGGCUGCCCGCAGGCCCUGAAAACCAGUGGCGGGCUCGCUAGUCACACCGAGCGCAGUAAUACAUCUCGCUUUGGGCGUGCGGCGGGUUCUUGCCGUUAAACACCCCCUUUUUACCAAGGUUGACCUCGGAUCUGGUAGGAAUACCCGCUGAACUUAAGCAUAUCAAUAAGCGGAGGA
RNAcentral lists this unclassified non-coding RNA (334 nucleotides) under soil metagenome. RNAcentral's name for it is "partial contains 5.8S ribosomal RNA, internal transcribed spacer 2, and large subunit ribosomal RNA". The stretch from base 1 to 120 matches the Rfam family "5.8S ribosomal RNA", at positions 35 to 154 of the family's 154-position model. The record is from RNAcentral.